This 253-nucleotide ribosomal RNA is filed under the name uncultured bacterium. RNAcentral describes it as "partial 16S ribosomal RNA". It matches the Rfam family "Bacterial small subunit ribosomal RNA", at positions 524 to 776 of the family's 1533-position model. The record is from RNAcentral.
UACGGGGGGGGCAAGCGUUGUUCGGAUUCAUUGGGCGUAAAGGGUGCGUAGGCGGCGCGGUAAGUCGGGUGUGAAAUCUCGGAGCUUAACUCCGAAACUGCAUUCGAUACUGCCGUGCUUGAGGACUGGAGAGGAGACUGGAAUUUACGGUGUAGCGGUGAAAUGCGUAGAUAUCGUAAGGAAGACCAGUGGCGAAGGCGGGUCUCUGGACAGUUCCUGACGCUGAGGCACGAAGGCCAGGGGAGCAAACGGG